Molecule: ribosomal RNA, 770 nt
Filed under: uncultured Gammaproteobacteria bacterium
Lineage: Bacteria; Pseudomonadati; Pseudomonadota; Gammaproteobacteria
Description: bacterial SSU rRNA
Rfam family: Bacterial small subunit ribosomal RNA
Source: RNAcentral
CCUAAGAACGCUNNCGGUGGCUUAACACAUGCAAGUCGAACGGAAACGAUAAAGAGCUUGCUCUUUAGGCGUCGAGUGGCGGACGGGUGAGUAACGCGUGGGAAUCUACCCUAUAGUUGGGGACAACAUAUGGAAACGUAUGCUAAUACCGAAUAAUCUCUACGGAGUAAAGGAGCCCACUUCCUGAAAGGUUUCGCUAUAGGAUGAGCCCGCGUUAGAUUAGCUAGUUGGUAAGGUAACGGCUUACCAAGGCCACGAUCUAUAGCUGGUUUGAGAGGAUGAUCAGCCACACUGGGACUGAGACACGGCCCAGACUCCUACGGGAGGCAGCAGUGGGGAAUAUUGCACAAUGGACGCAAGUCUGAUGCAGCCAUACCGCGUGUGUGAAGAAGGCCCGAGGGUUGUAAAGCACUUUCAGUAGGGAGGAAGAUACUAGGGUUAAUACCCCUAUUAUUUGACGUUACCUACAGAAGAAGCACCGGCUAACUCUGUGCCAGCAGCCGCGGUAAUACAGAGGGUGCAAGCGUUAUUCGGAAUUACUGGGCGUAAAGCGCGCGUAGGCGGAUGAUUAAGUCAGUUGUGAAAGCCCUGGGCUCAACCUAGGAACGGCAUCUGAUACUGGUCAUCUAGAGUUUAAGAGAGGGAAGUGGAAUUCCAGGUGUAGCAGUGAAAUGCGUAGAUAUCUGGAGGAACAUCAGUGGCGAAGGCGACUUCCUGGCUUAAAACUGACGCUGAGUGCGAAAGCGUGGGUAGCGAACGGGAUUAGAUAC